UAGGGAAUUUUGCGCAAUGGGGGAAACCCUGACGCAGCAACACCGCGUGAAUGUUAAGCCCUUCGGGGUGUAAAGUUCUGUCAAUUGGGACGAAUUUUGACUGUACCAAUAAAGGAAGCACCGGCUAACUCCGUGCCAGCAGCCGCGGUAAUACGGGGGGUGCAAGCGUUGUCCGGAAUCAUUGGGCGUAAAGCGUUCGUAGGCGGCACGUCAAGUUUGGUGUCAAAGCCCGGGGCUCAACUCCGGUUCGGCAUUGGAUACUGGCGAGCUAGAAUGCGGUAGAGGUUAAGGGAAUUCCUGGUGUAGCGGUGAAAUGCGUAGAUAUCAGGAGGAACACCGGUGGCGAAAGCGCUUAACUGGGCCGUUAUUGACGCUAAGGAACGAAAGCCGGGGGAGCAAA
This 400-nucleotide ribosomal RNA is filed under the name uncultured bacterium. RNAcentral's name for it is "bacterial SSU rRNA". It matches the Rfam family "Bacterial small subunit ribosomal RNA", at positions 355 to 772 of the family's 1533-position model. The record is from RNAcentral.